CCCUAUCACUUUGAACCCUAGAAUUCUCUGCUCUUUCUAGUAUCCGUUGCAGAGGAAGCUCAUACGCCAGAGAGAAGAACGAAAGAGACCGAGGAAGUGAAAUAGAGAUAGACAUUCGGCAAUGGCUGGCUACGAAGAAAGAUACGAAGGGAACGGGGAUGGUGAGGAAUUUGAUAACAACUACCCUGCUGGAUCCUCCCCACAGCCUGGGGCUGGCAGCCACAGCCAUGGCGGUGCAGAUGAUCACAGCGAUUCCAAAUCUCAGCAUGGGUCUCGUGAUUAUGAAAAAAAAUCUUCCAAAAGCAGGGAGAAGGAUAGAGAAAAACGUGAGAAGGACAGGGAUGGUGAAAGAAGUAAGGACAGGGAUAGGGAGAAAAGCAGGGACAGGGAGAGGGACCGAGACAAGGAUCGUGACAGUCAUCAUAGGGAUCGCCAUAGGGAUCGUAGUGACAGGAGGGAGCGUGGAAGAGAUAGAGAUGAAGAUGAUUAUGUUCGAAGCCGAGAUUAUGACAGAAGGAAUGAUUAUGAUAGGGAGGAAAGGCACAGGCACCGAUCUCGGUCAAGGGGUAGAUCUGAGCACCGGUCAAAGUCAAGGUCCCGGUCUCGGUCGCGCUCAAAAAGCAAAAGAAUUAGUGGUUUUGACAUGGCACCUCCUGCCUCAGCAAUGUUAGCUGGUGUUGCCGCUGCAGCAGGUCAGAUGCCUGGUGCUAACCCAGCUAUACCUGGGAUGUUCUCAAACAUGUUUCCUCUAGCAACUGGGCAGCAGUUUGGUGCUCUUCCUGUAAUGCCAGUACAGGCUAUGACCCAACAGGCUACUAGGCAUGCUCGGCGAGUAUAUGUUGGAGGGCUUUCUCCCACAGCAAAUGAACAGUCUGUGGCAACUUUUUUCAGCCAGGUUAUGGCUGCAAUUGGAGGAAACACUGCUGGUCCAGGGGAUGCUGUUGUUAACGUAUAUAUAAACCAUGAAAAGAAGUUUGCUUUUGUGGAGAUGAGAUCAGUUGAGGAAGCCAGCAAUGCAAUGGCUUUAGAUGGGAUCAUAUUUGAGGCAGCACCUGUUAAGGUGAGGAGGCCUAGUGACUACAACCCUUCUCUUGCUGCGACUCUUGGUCCUAGCCAGCCCAAUCCCAAUCUUAACUUGGCUGCUGUUGGUCUCACUCUGGGCUCUACUGGUGGACUCGAAGGUCCAGACCGCAUAUUUGUGGGUGGACUCCCGUAUUAUUUCACAGAAGCACAGAUCAGAGAGUUGUUGGAAUCUUUUGGUCCCCUCCGAGGUUUCGAUCUAGUAAAAGAUAGAGAAACCGGGAAUUCUAAAGGCUAUGCAUUUUGUGUCUAUCAAGAUCUUUCUGUCACAGAUAUAGCUUGUGCCGCUCUGAAUGGUAUUAAAAUGGGUGAUAAGACCCUCACAGUCAGGCGUGCAAACCAGGGAACUACCCAACCUAAACCUGAGCAAGAGAAUGUACUAUUACAUGCACAGCAGCAGAUUGCAUUGCAGAGGCUUAUCUUACAGCCCACUUCUAUAAUAGCAUCUAAGGUUGUGUGCCUAACCCAAGUAGUAUCUGAGGAUGAGCUCAAAGAUGAUGAAGAGUAUGAAGACAUUCUGGAGGACAUGAGGCAAGAAGGUGGCAAAUUUGCCAUAUGUAGUCCCACAUUCUGCUAUAAAGAAUCGGGCCUAACAUACACAGACAGAAGACUACUUAGCCCUCUAUCUAUAGUCACCUGAGUUUAUUUUCUUAAUUUUUCUGAACUUUUUCUGGAUUCCAAAUUUUCGUACAUUAUAUGCAGGUACAUUGGUGAAUGUUGUCAUCCCACGCCCAAACCCAAAUGGCGAACCAUCACCUGGUGUUGGGAAGGUGUUCUUGGAGUAUGCAGAUGCUGAAGGUGCUACAAAGGCCAGGACAGGAAUGAAUGGUAGGAAAUUUGGUGGGAAUACUGUUGCGGCAGUCUUCUUUCCUGAGAAUAAGUUUGCUCUGGGAGAGUAUGAAAAUUAAUUAGUUUGUUGAAGCAUACAUGCCCGGAUGCUCUCGCCUUGGGGGUACCAUUAUAGUAUUCUUAGGAGUAUGUCGUAGCUAAAGAUGUUCAAUGGCUGCACUGGGAAUCUUCCGCUGUUUUGGUGAUUAGCUUUUUUUCCCCCUUUGGGUAACAGUUUACUUCUGUGUCACUCGACUUGCUUGUAUUAUAGUAUUCUUAGGAGUAUGUCGUAGCUAAAGAUGUUCAAUGACGGCACUGGGAAUCUUCCGCUGUUUUGGUGAUUAGCUUUUUUUUAUUUUUUAUUUUUUAUUUUUUUUCCCUUUGGGUAACAGUUAACUUCUGUAUCACUGACUUGCUUGUGGAACUAAUUUUCUUUGGACAUUCAACAGAUAUAAUGGGUUCUUUUGGGCCCAAGACCAAAA
This is an RNA transcript of Tripterygium wilfordii, 2390 nucleotides long. It is a transcript of the gene named splicing factor U2af large subunit B-like, with no coding region annotated. The record is from RefSeq and is a predicted model, not a curated record. Lineage: Eukaryota; Viridiplantae; Streptophyta; Magnoliopsida; Celastrales; Celastraceae. The transcript has 13 exons.